CCUACGGGAGGCAGCAGUGAGGAAUAUUGGUCAAUGGACGAGAGUCUGAACCAGCCAAGUAGCGUGAAGGAUGACUGCCUUAUGGGUUGUAAACUUUUUUUAUAUGGGAAUACAACAGGGUAUGCAUACCCUCUUGUAUGUACCAUAUGAGUAAGGAUUGGCUAACUCCGCGCCAGCAGCCGCGGUAAUACGGAGGAUCUGAGCGUUAUCAGGAUUUAUUGGGUUUAAAGGGUGCGUAGGCGGCAUUUUAAGUCAGCGGUGAAAUGCUGUGGCUCAACCAGAGAAUUGCCGUUGAAACGGGUAGACUUGAGUAUGUUUGAGGCAGGCGGAAUGCGUGGUGUAGCGGUGAAAUGCUUAGAUAUCACGCAGAACCCCGAUUGCGAAGGCAGCCUGCCAAGCCAUGACUGACGCUGAUGCACGAAAGCGUGGGGAUCAAACAGGAUUAGAUACCCCUGUAGUC
This 460-nucleotide ribosomal RNA is filed under the name uncultured bacterium. RNAcentral's name for it is "partial 16S ribosomal RNA". It matches the Rfam family "Bacterial small subunit ribosomal RNA", at positions 338 to 795 of the family's 1533-position model. The record is from RNAcentral.